Molecule: non-coding RNA, 570 nt
Organism: Musa acuminata subsp. malaccensis (wild Malaysian banana)
Lineage: Eukaryota; Viridiplantae; Streptophyta; Magnoliopsida; Zingiberales; Musaceae
Source: RefSeq, a predicted model, not a curated record
CAUCCAAAGCGAGAGAAGGGGAAGGGGAAGAGCCAUGUCUAGGGUUUUCCGGGGCUGCAGGACCCUCGGUGGAAUCGUAGUCGGCGGCGGCGGCUUCACCAAGCCGCUCCAUAUCUUCCGGCUAUGAGGAGGCUCCUCGGCGUCCCGGAGAUCUCGCGCGGCCGAGGCCGUGAAGAUGAUCUGAGAGUACAUCAAUGUCCGCCAGCUUCAGAUGUCAAAACUUUAUCAUGGUGACAAGUAUUGGUACAGGAGCCAAGGGCAUUCAUAUGUGAUUGUCCAUCAAACCAAAGUAAUGGCUUUUGGACUAAUAUUAAUUUACAUUGAUGAAGGUGUAUACUUGGAGUCUUCGACUUAUAUUUAUGUGCUUGAGAGAUGGGUGAGGGAAGGGGCAUUUGGAAAUCAAAGGACAGGGUUUUUAUCAGCUGAUUAUUCAACUCUUUCCCAUGCUGAAGUGUUCUUGUUUAUGUUAAAUCCUUGGUGAUAAUACUGAGGUGUCAAGUAGUGAACCAAAUGAAUGGAUUUCCUCUAUAUGGUUCAUCUUGGCCAUGAAUAUGAAUCUAGGUGGACAGA